RNAcentral lists this ribosomal RNA (490 nucleotides) under uncultured bacterium. RNAcentral's name for it is "bacterial SSU rRNA". It matches the Rfam family "Bacterial small subunit ribosomal RNA", at positions 8 to 518 of the family's 1533-position model. The record is from RNAcentral.
AGAGUUGAUCAUGGCUCAGGACGAACGCUGGCGGCAUGCCUAACACAUGCAAGUCGAACGGAGGCAGAAAUGCCUUAGUGGCGAACGGGUGAGUAACACGUGAGUAACCUGCCCUGUACACUGGGAUAACACCUGGAAACGGGUGCUAAUACCGGAUAAGACCACAACCGAGGCAUCUCGGGGGGUCAAAGUGAAUUUAGCGGUACAGGAUGGACUCGCGUCCAAUUAGCUAGUUGGCGGGAUAACAGCCCCACCAAGGCGACGAUUGGUAGCCGGAUUGAGAGAUUGAUCGGCCACAUUGGAACUGAGGUACGGUCCAAACUCCUACGGGAGGCAGCAGUGGGGAAUAUUGGGCAAUGGAGGAAACUUCCUUACCCAGCAAUGCCGCGUGAGUGAAGAAGGUCUUCGGAUUGUAAAGCUCUUUGAUUGGGGACGAAUAAAUGACGGUACCCAAGGAACAAGCCCCGGCUAACUAUGUGCCAGCAGCCGC